AAAAUAGACUUACUCAUGUUUAUGAACUCUGCUGAAUAAAGUGCUUCAUUCUUUUUUCUGAGGAAAUCCAAAUCUCAAAUCCUCAACCACAUCACAUCUUUUUGGGGUGAAUUAUGUCUUAUUCGUAAAAUAAAAAAAACUUGAAGAACAAUCUCGCUGCGUUGUCUUCUGUUGUGUGGGCGUAUUCAAAAGCCGCGCGCUUCAGUGAAACAUUUGAAUCUCAAAAGCGCGUUCAGCGCGGGGGCAUGGUCGCAUUAGAAGAUAAUGAAGGGAGACGUGAAAAACGGACAUCGCGUUGUUUUCAUAUGGAUUACUUUAUCACAGAAUAUUUGUUUUCGGUAGCACUUGUUUAGUUUAAAAGUAGACAUGUCAGGCUUUCUAUAGAUAUCUCUCUCAUGUCUCUUCAUUGAGUAUUCACUGAGUUACAGUUCAUUUUAAUGACGUGUUUGUAAAUGAAGAUCAGCGCAGACAAAGGCUGCAGACAGCACACCUUGUUUGUUAUCUUUAUUUUAUAAAUGCACAAAGUUUUGUUGUUAUUAUGUCUGUAUACAAAAAAGUAGACCCUUUACAGAUUUGAUUGAUGUAUUGCUCUUAUCUGUACGAUCAAAACUGAAAGUGUAAUUUAAGUUCUUUUCAGGGUUAUCAGGAGAAAAUGCCUCAUAACGCAUAUACACGUUAAUCGACUUCAGAGGGUUAAAUACUGACCAAAGUUUAAUGUUUUAAUUUAAUAGAGUAUCCAGAAUCAUGGGUGUCCAUGUUUCAGUCUUCAAUGAGACUCCUUACACCUGGGACUUCUCUGCACAGGAAUAAAACCAGACUAUCCAGAAUCAUGGGUGUCCAUGUUUCAGUCAUCAAUGACACUCCUUACACCUGGUACUUUGACACCCAGGACAGAAAAGGGUAUACACAAAUCCGUUCUGGCUGCAGGACAUCAUAUCAAGAGUCUCCAGCAAUCCAUCGCUACAUCUACUUCAGAUAUGAAAAUUACACAUCUGAUAGUUUUACAUUUGAGUUUAACACCAAUAAAGGCAACACAUCUUUUACCCUAAGUGAAGCCGGUGACAGGAUUCAGUUGCACUGCACCUCUGAGGGCUUCAGUCAUUACUGUCCCAACUACGGAAAACAAAACCAGAGAUAGCAAGAGGAGGAGAGAAGACGUAAACAAGAUUUUUCCCCUACAAGACAGAUGGAAACAAAAUAAUAAAAUGAAAAUUCUUUGUAAAUUGACA
Molecule: long non-coding RNA, 1229 nt
Organism: Cyprinus carpio (common carp)
Lineage: Eukaryota; Metazoa; Chordata; Actinopteri; Cypriniformes; Cyprinidae
Source: Ensembl